AAUAAGAUGCCUGAAUUAAAGGGCUAUUUUGAUAGAAUAGAUAAUGUAGAAAUCUACUCUUAUUA
Molecule: transfer RNA, 65 nt
Filed under: Aphelocheirus jendeki
Lineage: Eukaryota; Metazoa; Arthropoda; Insecta; Hemiptera; Aphelocheiridae
Description: tRNA-Ile
Source: RNAcentral